Molecule: ribosomal RNA, 253 nt
Filed under: uncultured bacterium
Lineage: Bacteria
Description: partial 16S ribosomal RNA
Rfam family: Bacterial small subunit ribosomal RNA
Source: RNAcentral
UACGGGGGGGGCAAGCGUUGUUCGGAAUUACUGGGCGUAAAGGGCUCGUAGGUGGCCAACUAAGUCAGACGUGAAAUCCCUCGGCUUAACCGGGGAACUGCGUCUGAUACUGGAUGGCUUGAGUUUGGGAGAGGGAUGCGGAAUUCCAGGUGUAGCGGUGAAAUGCGUAGAUAUCGGGAGGAACACCAGUGGCGAAGGCGGCACUCUGGGCCGGUACUGACGCUGAGGAGCGAAAGCGUGGGGAGCGAACAGG